CAAAGCCUGAUCAUACUCUAGAAGCACAUACCUUCUAUCACAAAUUCUCCCAGACAGGGUUAGCAUCCCAUAACACACAUUAAUAUUUCUAUUUCUACAAUGACUAUGAAUGUUCAUAUUAAGUGUGAUAAAU
This is a small nucleolar RNA of Bubalus bubalis (water buffalo), 133 nucleotides long. RefSeq annotates it as small nucleolar RNA snR80. The record is from RefSeq and is a predicted model, not a curated record. Lineage: Eukaryota; Metazoa; Chordata; Mammalia; Artiodactyla; Bovidae. The transcript has a single exon.